UACGUAGGGUGCUAGCGUUGUCCGGAUUUAUUGGGCGUAAAGAGCUCGUAGGCGGCUUGUCGCGUCGAAUGUGAAAACCUGCAGCUCAACUGCAGGCUUGCAUUCGAUACGGGCAGACUAGAGUUCGGUAGGGGAGACUGGAAUUCCUGGUGUAGCGGUGAAAUGCGCAGAUAUCAGGAGGAACACCGGUGGCGAAGGCGGGUCUCUGGGCCGAAACUGACGCUGAGGAGCGAAAGCGUGGGGAGCGAACAGG
RNAcentral lists this ribosomal RNA (253 nucleotides) under uncultured bacterium. Its description in RNAcentral is "partial 16S ribosomal RNA". It matches the Rfam family "Bacterial small subunit ribosomal RNA", at positions 524 to 776 of the family's 1533-position model. The record is from RNAcentral.